UGAAAUAUCGUACAGAGGUUAUUUGAUGAUUGUAGGUGAGCAGUAAGAAAUUAUUUUUUUAAAUACAUAUUCUAGGGGCGUAAUUUGAGUGGAAUAAUUACAGCACUAUAGGUAAAUACAAUCAAAUAAUAAAUAUUGUAAAUAUGAAACUAAACAUAAACGGGUUUGGUGGACCGAUGCCGCUAGUUGGAGAGGGUCCGAUUGUUGUUUUGAACUGAUGCGGCUACUGGAGCAAUGUUCACGAAACGUAAAUCUUGUUGUGGUCGAAAUACUUAAGUACGACUGAUCCGAGGCAGAUGAAAAAAAAAAUUGAACCUGUUCCUGAUGUCGAAAAGCGUUUGCUAGUUGUUAAUGAAACAAGAUGUGAAUUAAAAAGAAGAACAGGAUAAAAAAUAUUCGAACUGUAUUAAAGUGUGUUUAUUAGUUUUAAAAUUAUAUUGUUAUAUAAUAUAUUAUUUACCCUCUUAAAAGGAUCAUAUGUAACGAGCUUUUGUCUUAGAUCAAAAGUCAUUUGGAAAUAUUGAGUCAUUUAUAGGCUAGCUGUCCAUUGAAAUAUCACAUGUUUUAUGCUUCCGGUUUUUUUUUCAUACGUCAUAUUCAUAUUUUUGAAGUCAUAUUUUUGAAGAUAAUGAUUAAAAGAAGUCGUUU
This is a long non-coding RNA of Bombyx mori (domestic silkworm), 648 nucleotides long. RefSeq lists it as uncharacterized. The record is from RefSeq and is a predicted model, not a curated record. The transcript has 2 exons. NCBI's taxonomy places the organism in Eukaryota, Metazoa, Arthropoda, Insecta, Lepidoptera, Bombycidae.